This 500-nucleotide ribosomal RNA is filed under the name uncultured bacterium. RNAcentral's name for it is "partial 16S ribosomal RNA". It matches the Rfam family "Bacterial small subunit ribosomal RNA", at positions 28 to 507 of the family's 1533-position model. The record is from RNAcentral.
GACGAACGCUGGCGGCGUGCUUAACACAUGCAAGUCGAACGGGCCUGUCUUCUUUUUUGGGGGGUGGGUUGAGUGGCGAACGGGUGAGUAUCACGUGAGUAACCUGCCCUUCGGUCCUGGAUAACCGCUUGAAAGGGCGGCUAAUACGGGGUGGUCCGGUUGGUCCGCAUGGGCUGGUCGGGAUAGAUUCACUGUUUUUGGUGUUUCGGCGGGGGAUGGGCUCGCGGCCUAUCAGCUUGUUGGUGGGGUGAUGGCCUACCAAGGCGGUGACGGGUAGCCGGCCUGAGAGGGUGGGCGGCCACACUGGGACUGAGAUACGGCCCAGACUCCUGCGGGAGGCAGCAGUGGGGGGUAUUGCACAAUGGGCGGAAGCCUGAUGCAGCGACGUCGCGUGAGGGAGGGAGGCCUUCGGGUUGUGAACCUCUGUUUCCGGUGGUGAAGGCCCUGUCCGUGUGGUGGGGUUGACGGUAGCCGGGGAGGAAGCGCCGGCUAACUACGUG